UACAGAGGGGGCAAGCGUUAUUCGGAAUUAUUGGGCGUAAAGAGCUCGUAGGCGGUUUGUCGCGUCUGCUGUGAAAACUCAGGGCUUAACCCUGAGCCUGCAGUGGGUACGGGCAGACUAGAGUGUGGUAGGGGAGAUCGGAAUUCCUGGUGUAGCGGUGGAAUGCGCAGAUAUCAGGAGGAACACCGGUGGCGAAGGCGGAUCUCUGGGCCAUAACUGACGCUGAGGAGCGAAAGCAUGGGGAGCGAACAGG
RNAcentral lists this ribosomal RNA (253 nucleotides) under uncultured bacterium. RNAcentral describes it as "partial 16S ribosomal RNA". It matches the Rfam family "Bacterial small subunit ribosomal RNA", at positions 524 to 776 of the family's 1533-position model. The record is from RNAcentral.